GGGGAACCAGGACUUUUACUGUGAAAAAAUUAGAGUGCUCCAGGCAGGCCUAUGCUCGAAUACAUUAGCAUGGAAUAAUAGAAUAGGACGUGUGGUUCUAUUUUGUUGGUUUCUAGGACCGCCGUAAUGAUUAAUAGGGACAGUCGGGGGCAUCAGUAUUCAAUUGUCAGAGGUGAAAUUCUUGGAUUUAUUGAAGACUAACUACUGCGAAAGCAUUUGCCAAGGAUGUUUUCAUUAAUCAGGAACGAAAGUUAGGGGAUCGAAGACGAUCAGAUACCGUCGUAGUCUUAAUCAUAAACUAUGCCGACUAGGGAUCGGACGGUGUUAUUUUUUGACCCGUUCGGCACCUUACGAGAAAUCAAAGUGCUUGGGCUCCAGGGGGAGUAUGGUCGCAAGGCUGAAACUUAAAGAAAUUGACGGAAGGGCACCACCAGGGGUGGAGCCUGCGGCUUAAUUUGACUCAACACGGGGAAACUCACCAGGUCCAGACACAAUGAGGAUUGACAGAUUGAGAGCUCUUUCUUGAUUUUGUGGGUGGUGGUGCAUGGCCGUUCUUAGUUGGUGGAGUGAUUUGUCUGCUUAAUUGCGAUAACGAACGAGACCU
Molecule: ribosomal RNA, 604 nt
Filed under: uncultured Hypocreales
Lineage: Eukaryota; Fungi; Ascomycota; Sordariomycetes; Hypocreales
Description: SSU rRNA
Rfam family: Eukaryotic small subunit ribosomal RNA
Source: RNAcentral